CAAGCCCGCCAGCGGUAGAACAAUCGCCUCCAAGAAGGCCCAACUCAAGAAGAAUGUCCACAAUACCACCCCUGUUUGAACCUCCAUCCACACCUCCAUCCGUAUAUCAGUCUGUACCUCCAUCUGCACCUCCAUCCUCACCUCCAUCCGUACAUCAGUCUAUAGCUCCAUCUGCACCUCCACCUGUACCUCUAUCUGCCCCUCCAUCCGCACUUCCAUCCGUACAUCAGUCCGUACCUCCAUCUGCACCUCCGCCUUUACAUGGGAAGUUCGGGUGCAGGAAGCGAGGGGGGAGAAAGCGAAGACUGAAGACGCGCUACUGAGCGGGGAGGAAGGUGAUCUGUAAAACACCAACCUUUGUUUUUUUUGUAAAUAUGAUUAUUUUUGUAUAUUAUUAUUAUUUCUAUUAUUGUUAUUGUUACUGUUAUUAUUAUUAUAAUUAAAAACACAUUAUUCUGAAAGA
This is a long non-coding RNA of Hemicordylus capensis (graceful crag lizard), 463 nucleotides long. RefSeq lists it as uncharacterized. Lineage: Eukaryota; Metazoa; Chordata; Lepidosauria; Squamata; Cordylidae. The transcript is spliced from 3 exons. The record is from RefSeq and is a predicted model, not a curated record.